AUGCGGAAUGGCGGCGGUGGCGGCUGGAGCUUGCAGGGGUUGGGGAGGCUGAUUCGAAGGCGGACGGCGAGGCGGGGGAACGGUGAGGAAGGCCGGAGCGAGGGAUCCGGCGACCUAGGCAGGAGCUCGCCGGAGCCGGGCGCGCAAGGCAGAGGGAUCCGAUGCGGCGGUUCGAAGUUCUUGCAGGCAAAGGCAGACCUCCAUGGCUGGCAGGGGGGCUCCAAGGCCAUGGCGGGGCUUCGGUUUUCCCUGGUAUAG
RNAcentral lists this ribosomal RNA (258 nucleotides) under Triticum aestivum (bread wheat). RNAcentral describes it as "partial small subunit ribosomal RNA". Lineage: Eukaryota; Viridiplantae; Streptophyta; Magnoliopsida; Poales; Poaceae. The record is from RNAcentral.